Molecule: long non-coding RNA, 2072 nt
Organism: Bubalus bubalis (water buffalo)
Lineage: Eukaryota; Metazoa; Chordata; Mammalia; Artiodactyla; Bovidae
Exons: 6
Source: RefSeq, a predicted model, not a curated record
GAAUACUGGAGUGGGUUGCCAUUUCCUUCCCCAAAGGAUCUUCCUGACCCAGGGAUCAAACCCUUGUGUCCUGCAUUGGCAGGUGGAUUCUUUACCUUUGAGCCACCAGUAAAGGCUCUUUAGUAAGUCCCUUAUAACUUAGGACAGACAACCAAAUUUAAACAAAUACUGUGAAUAGCUGGAAAAGUAAUUGUGCAAAACUCUGGGCAGAAAUAGUAUAAGAUGUCAGAGGGAUAUAUCAUAAGAUGGCUGAUAUGUCAUAAGAAUGUGACCUCUCGAGGGUCACAUUCUUGAGAAUGUGAAAUUUAAGCUGAGACAUGGAAUCAUUUAUUUAUAACAUAGUUAAGUUCAACCAAGAAAACAGAAUCUACCAAAUGCUAAGCAUGGUUCUGGGUAUUAUAAGAAUGCAGAGAUGAAUAUGGCAUGACCCCACCCUCAUGAAAUUUACAGCACAUUAGCAAAGUGUUGUUGUUGUUCAGUAGCUAAGUCGUCUCCAACUCUUUGUGACCCCAUGGACUGCAGCACCCCAGGCUUCCCUUGUCCUUCACUAUCUCCUGGAAGAGAUAAGUCUCAGAUAACUCAAAGCUGAGUUAGUCUCAGAACUGAAAUGAGUCUCAGAUAACUUGAAAGCUUAUUCGUCCUCGUGACACUGGGCCAUUGCCUGACCCAGUGUCAGCAGAUUGGGAAGAGCAGAUGUGCAAGGCAGGGGGAGAAAGGUGAGGAGCUCAAAUUUAGAGUCACUGAUGGAAGGUACCCCAGGAACAAUGCAAACACUAUUUGCAUAAUAAGCAGCUGACGGAUUUGAAUCUGAAUCAAACUGGGGAAGAGGUUGGAGCUGGAGGAUCCAGGGAGCAGAUAAAACCCAGGGAGCAGCGAGUACAAGAAACCCAAGGGCUGCGUGUUCAGAAAGAGGAAGUCAGAGGAGGUGGAGGAGAAGGAAUAGGAAGCAGGCAGAGAGCAGGGAGUGAGAGCAGGGUCCCAGGGCAGAGGAGACUGUCCGGCAGGGAUGCAAAGUCAUCUGUGCAAGAAAAACUUCCGAUAGAAGCAGAACACAGAGCCACACAUAGAGGAGGCCCAAAUGUAACAAAUAUCCAGGCUAAUCAUUCUUGAAAUUGAUCACUGUUUCCCCCAAGCUUCCUCACACUCAAGACAAAAGGAGAAAUGUGACAGAUUUUGUAAGGUUUAUAAUUUGAUACAAGAGAGCACGUUUCAAGGGAAAGUGACUUGCAGAAUGCCUAAGAGCAGAAAACUUAGAGGGGGGAAAUUCAACAUGUUUUCAUAUCCUACAACUUAAUGUUUUUUUUUCUCCUAGCUAUUAUUCCCUAGACCUGGAAAUUUCAGAAACCCGAAUGGAAGCCCUCACAGGACUGCAGCGUUACACACCGAAAAGCAACAAGAAACACACAUCGAUGGUUGGCUUUUCUUCCUCUUGAGCAGCAGCAAUGCUAACGGCAGGGGUGGGAGUCAGGAAGAGAAGAGGAAACAGGGAGACACAGGCAGAGAAGGUCAUGUGACUAUGGAAGGAGAGAUGGGAGUGAUGCUGCGGUCAAUCAAGGAGUCCAUACAGCACCAGAAGCUGGAAGAGGCAAGGAAAUAUUCUCCUCUAGAGCCUGAAUUCAGAGAGGACAGGUCUCUGCUGACAUCUGGAUUUUAGACUGCUGGCUACCAGGACUAGACCUCCGAAUGAUCAACAAGAGUACUGUGAACUUCAAUCAAUCAACAGAGCAUCACCUACGUGAAUCUGGCGUUCCUUACCUCCAAGGGCAAAAUUAGACUGCCGGCCUCCCAACUGAUUCCAGCGAACGAACAGCACUGGGCCUGAGAGAUAAAACAAAUCAGCUAAUGCUUGGCAAAAGAUGUUGCCUUUGAAAUCAGCUGCAUCCAAUUUCUUCCCUCUUGACACUGGCAUUUGAAGGAACAAGCCACAGAUGCAGUCUUGACACCAGUGUGUCCCGGGAGGGCUUCAUGGCUCAAGGACCCAAAAGGCGCCUCUAGUCAUCGGACUCCGUGACACUGUUCAGUGUCUCCCCUCAACCUAAGGGGCAAGGGAAGAAGAAGAGAGAACCACACAC